This is a small nuclear RNA of Perognathus longimembris pacificus (Pacific pocket mouse), 107 nucleotides long. NCBI's taxonomy places the organism in Eukaryota, Metazoa, Chordata, Mammalia, Rodentia, Heteromyidae. The record is from RefSeq and is a predicted model, not a curated record.
CUGCUCGCUUCGGCAGCACAUAUACUAAAACUGGACCAAUGCAGAGAAAAUGAUCAUGACCCCUGUUCAAGGAUGACACACAAAUUUGUGACGUGUUCUAUAUUUUA